RNAcentral lists this unclassified non-coding RNA (240 nucleotides) under soil metagenome. RNAcentral's name for it is "partial contains 5.8S ribosomal RNA, internal transcribed spacer 2, and large subunit ribosomal RNA". The record is from RNAcentral.
AACGCACGAGACCUGCGGACCUGCGGAGGGAUCAUUAAUGAGAAGCUGCCCCUCGUGGGUAGACCUCCCACCCUCUGUGAACUUACCUUUGUUGCUUUGGCAGGCCCGUCCUCUGGACCGCCGGCUUCGGCUGGCCCGUGCCUGCCAGAGGGUUCCAAACCCUGUCUGUCAGUGUUGUCUGAGUCUAUAUGAAAUCGUUAAAACUUUCAACAACGGAUCUCUAGAUCGGAAGAGCACACG